Molecule: transfer RNA, 86 nt
Filed under: Podarcis lilfordi (Lilford's wall lizard)
Lineage: Eukaryota; Metazoa; Chordata; Lepidosauria; Squamata; Lacertidae
Description: tRNA.Ile
Source: RNAcentral
UCCAUGCUAGCUCAGCUGGUUAGAGUGUGGUGCUGAUAAUGCCAAGGUUGCAGGUUUGAUCCCCAUAUUCCUGCUUUGCAGGGGAU